Molecule: long non-coding RNA, 306 nt
Filed under: Pan troglodytes (chimpanzee)
Lineage: Eukaryota; Metazoa; Chordata; Mammalia; Primates; Hominidae
Description: lincRNA
Source: RNAcentral
AGCUCAGCGUGCAGAAGACUGAGGAGCCAUUGGUCAGUGUAGGAGGUGCCUGGAGUUUUGGAGAUGGGAUCCACAGGAAUUCAACACAACACGAAAUAAUCGACAAAUUCGGGGAAUGUUAAUCUGACCAUCCCCAGUUACAAAUGAUGUUUCAUGCUACCUUCUAUUCCUGCCUUCAUAAAUCAAGGAAAAGAAAAAGAGAACAUAUAUCCCCCUACCUUUUGAUUUCCAACAGUCUACUGAGAGGCCAAAAUUAUUUGCAGGGAAAGAAAAGGGGAAUGCCAUCCCCACCCUCUCGCAGCUACA